Molecule: ribosomal RNA, 429 nt
Filed under: Gemmatimonadota bacterium
Lineage: Bacteria; Pseudomonadati; Gemmatimonadota
Description: Gemmatimonadetes bacterium partial 16S ribosomal RNA
Rfam family: Bacterial small subunit ribosomal RNA
Source: RNAcentral
UAGGGAAUCUUCGGCAAUGGACGAAAGUCCGACCGAGCAACGCCGCGCGAGUGAAGAAGGUUUUCGGAUCGUAAAACUCUGUUGUUAGAGAAGAACAAGGACGUUAGUAACUGAACGUCCCCUGACGGUAUCUAACCAGAAAGCCACGGCUAACUACGUGCCAGCAGCCGCGGUAAUACGUAGGUGGCAAGCGUUGUCCGGAUUUAUUGGGCGUAAAGCGAGCGCAGGCGGUUUCUUAAGUCUGAUGUGAAAGCCCCCGGCUCAACCGGGGAGGGUCAUUGGAAACUGGGAGACUUGAGUGCAGAAGAGGAGAGUGGAAUUCCAUGUGUAGCGGUGAAAUGCGUAGAUAUAUGGAGGAACACCAGUGGCGAAGGCGGCUCUCUGGUCUGUAACUGACGCUGAGGCUCGAAAGCGUGGGGAGCAAACAGG